RNAcentral lists this long non-coding RNA (256 nucleotides) under Lathyrus oleraceus (garden pea). Its description in RNAcentral is "Pisum sativum (pea) long non-coding RNA (PSAT_LNC008560)". Lineage: Eukaryota; Viridiplantae; Streptophyta; Magnoliopsida; Fabales; Fabaceae. The record is from RNAcentral.
ACAGAACCUUGUUGUUUAUGACCACGGAUGACGACGAUUUUCCAUUCCCUGUGAGUGCGGACGCAGUUAGAAAAUACUUCGUGAAAGAAACCCGCUGGACAAAAAAAAAAAGAAUAAAGAGUCCAGGCAAAAAAUGGGCAUCCCGGCGAACCAAGAAAAAGAGAAAGGUUCGGGCAAAAGUUAGGGAUAAAAAUAAAAGAAAAGAACUGUACACCCGGCAAGUUGAAAACCCGCAAGGGCGACUUGGGCAAAAAAG